AACUUCCAACAACGGAUCUCUUGGUUCUGGCAGCGAUGAAGAACGCAACGAAAUGCGAUAAGUAAUGUGAAUUGCAGAAUUCAGUGAAUCAUCGAAUCUUUGAACGCACAUUGCGCCCCCUGGUAUUCCGGGGGGCAUGCCUGUUCGAGCGUCAUUACAACCCUCAAGCUCUGCUUGGUAUUGGGCCCCGCCAGUUCUGGCGGGCCCUAAAGUCAGUGGCGGUGCCAUCCGGCUCCGAGCGUAGUAAUUCUUCUCGCUCUGGAGACCCGGUUGUGUGCUUGCCAGCAACCCCCAAUUUUUUAAGGUUGACCUCGGAUCAGGUAGGGAUACCCGCUGAACUUAAGCAUAUCAAUAAGCGGAGGCU
RNAcentral lists this unclassified non-coding RNA (364 nucleotides) under uncultured fungus. RNAcentral describes it as "sequence contains ITS2". The stretch from base 1 to 154 matches the Rfam family "5.8S ribosomal RNA". The record is from RNAcentral. Lineage: Eukaryota; Fungi.